This 253-nucleotide ribosomal RNA is filed under the name uncultured bacterium. RNAcentral's name for it is "partial 16S ribosomal RNA". It matches the Rfam family "Bacterial small subunit ribosomal RNA", at positions 524 to 776 of the family's 1533-position model. The record is from RNAcentral.
UACGUAGGGGGCAAGCGUUGUCCGGAUUUAUUGGGCGUAAAGAGCGUGUAGGCGGCCAGACAGGUCCGUUGUGAAAACUCGAGGCUCAACCUCGAGACGUCGACGGAAACCGUCUGGCUAGAGUCCGGAAGAGGAGUGUGGAAUUCCUGGUGUAGCGGUGAAAUGCGCAGAUAUCAGGAAGAACACCUAUGGCGAAGGCAGCCCCCUGGGCUAACACUGACGCUGAGGCACGAAAGCGUGGGGAGCAAACAGG